ACGCUGGGAGGUGAAACCACCACCCUCCGUCCCCUGUUUUUAUCAGCCCUGUGGGACCUUUGUGCCAGCUGGGAGUGGCGUAUUGACGUUUCCUAUGUGCCCAUGGUGACGGCCGUGGCACAGGGAGUGGUGCGGCCAGUUCCACCACUCUGUGGUGUCACCCCUGCCCGCCGCACCCCUCCUCACCCGGGCAGGGCCCUGGUAUUUAGCGGGUACCCGCCACCCCGGGAGAGCCGUGCCAAGGACGACGAUUGGGGGUGCUGCUGGCAGCGGCGCUUUCGAAGGGUGCUGCCGGCAUUGCCUCUGCUGGGAGCUUUUCUGCAGCUCGAGGGCCACAGAGCAUGUGGAACCCCAACCCAGGUGCGCCCGGAGGGGUGCCACCACCCCAAGUGCAAAUUUGCCCACCUGCUGCUCCGGGAUACCCUGGUCCUGGCACUCCAGCAGGUCCCUACCCUGGCUACCCUCCAGUGCCGCCUGGCACCCCUGGGACCUAUCCCCCGGGACCCCCAGGUGGCUAUCCCUGUGGCCCCUCUCCACCUGGCCCCUACACGCCGGGACAUCACCCCCAUGGGCACCCCCUGCCAGGGCAGCACCCCCAUGGGCACCCCCUGCCAGGGCAUCACCCCCCUGGGCACCCCCCACCAGGGCAUCACCCCCAUGGGCACCCCCCACCGUGCCCCCCUGACUGCCAUCAGAAGCACCAUAAGAAGCACAAGAAGAAGCACUCCAAGCACCAUGGAGGCAAGCACUCCAGCAGCUCAAGCAGCUCAAGCAGCAGUUCUGACUCUGACUGAAGAGGACGUGUCCCACCCGCAUGGCAGGGAAUUGACGAAACACGAAGCUGAACACCCCGCAGGAACCACCUGCAUGUUGCUCUGCUCCUUUCCCCUUUCUCUGAGAGCGGCGUUUUGCCUGCUGAGUGAUUUUUCUUGUUUUUAGCUUGUAAAUUCUUUGACCUGGAAUUGCUGUGAGAUGAUGGGCAGCAGCUCUGUCCUCUGUCUUUCAGAAGAACCCACUGAGAGUCAUCCCCGAGGCUGCAGGUAGCAGUGUGGGGAGCAUCACGUGCUGGUUUGCAGUCUGCUGGUGUCUGCGUGUUUUUUCCUGGGUAAUGAUGCCAGCUGCUAACAUCAAUCCCACCACCCGUAAAAGUCCGUAAAUUUCGUGUGAGCUUUCCCAGCUGUAGCAGAAGGGCUGGGCAGGGAAUGCUGUAACUUUCCCCUUGCUGCACUAUAUGCGUUGCCAUCCUCCAUGUCAGGGUAAUGAUCAAUAGGAAAAAGUAGUGAGCUCACUUUCUGAAGCCCCUGAGCCAUGGCCAUGGGACUGCAGCAUGCUUGCUAGGAAAGGAGAAAAGCCUGGCAGUGCUUUCACUACAAAAUUUUUAACACGGGGCUGCUUUUUCUGCUGUUUUAUUUUUGUUUUGCCCACUGUCAUGGCUCAAGAGGACCCUUCCCAGCCCUGCUAUCAAGAAGGCUUUGCAGCCAGCCGGUAUGACUGGCUGCUGGACCCAGUGGCACAAACACGAGCAGCUCACUGUGGCAGAGGGAAUCUCCAGAAGAGGUGGUGCAGCCCAUCUCACCCAGAUUUACUGCCAGCACAGCCUUGUUCAUCCUUGUUGCACUACUGGCUGGGCAUGUAUAUGUGCUGGGGCAGUGGGAUUUUGCUUCUGCAGCUCCUCUCUGGAUGCAGUCAUGUUUUGUCCUGUGACCCUCAAAGCUCCCCUACAGCUCUCCUCCCUGAAGAAGGGAAAACACGGCAGUGACACCGCAGCAUGCAUGGCCACAGCUCCCACCACUGUGCCUGCCCUGGCUUGUGCCCAUGCCCGGAACCCUUCCCUGCAGCCACGCUGCCGGCUCCUUUGCACCCUGUGCCUGGGGUCCCCUGUGCACAACAUGCGCCCUGCCCAGCCUCUCCUCCCCAUUCCACCUCACAGAAAUGCCCCCAGCCUUGGAGGGUUCCCCUGCCUCCCUGUCCUGGCUUGAGACAUGCAAGUGUUGGAUGCAAGAGGGGCUGAAGAAAGUGCGGAUAAAGCCCAACUCAGGUGCAAUGCCACCUUUGUGGUGGGGAAAGGCACAACCCCCUCAAAAAGGGUGUAUUGGCUUUGUGUGGCAAGGUUUUGGUAGCCGGGGGGGGGG
RNAcentral lists this long non-coding RNA (2132 nucleotides) under Aquila chrysaetos chrysaetos. RNAcentral describes it as "lncRNA (ENSACCG00020011692.1)". The record is from RNAcentral. Lineage: Eukaryota; Metazoa; Chordata; Aves; Accipitriformes; Accipitridae.